CUACGUGCCAGCAGCCGCGGUAAUACGGAAGGUCCAGGCGUUAUCCGGAUUUAUUGGGUUUAAAGGGAGCGUAGGCGGAUUGUUAAGUCAGCGGUUAAAGGGUGUGGCUCAACCAUGCAUUGCCGUUGAAACUGGCGAUCUUGAGUGCAGACAGGGAUGCCGGAAUUCGUGGUGUAGCGGUGAAAUGCUUAGAUAUCACGAAGAACUCCGAUCGCGAAGGCAGGUGUCCGGGCUGCAACUGACGCUGAGGCUCGAAGGUGCGGGUAUCGAACAGGAUUAGAUACCCUGGUAGUCCGCACGGUAAACGAUGAAUACUCGCAGUUCGGCCGUUUAUGGUCGAGUUGUCCAGCGAAAGCGUUAAGUAUUCCACCUGGGGAGUACGCCGGCAACGGUGAAACUCAAAGGAAUUGACGGGGGCCCGCACAAGCGGAGGAACAUGUGGUUUAAUUCGAUGAUACGCGAGGAACCUUACCCGGGCUUGAAC
Molecule: ribosomal RNA, 484 nt
Filed under: uncultured bacterium
Lineage: Bacteria
Description: bacterial SSU rRNA
Rfam family: Bacterial small subunit ribosomal RNA
Source: RNAcentral